GACGAACGCUGGCGGCGUGCCUAAUACAUGCAAGUCGAGCGAAGUUUUUCUGGUGCUUGCACCGGAAAAACUUAGCGGCGAACGGGUGAGUAACACGUAAAGAACCUGCCUUAUAGACUGGGACAACUAUUGGGAACGAUAGCUAAUACCGGAUAACAGCAUUAACUGCAUGGUUGAUGUUUGAAAGUUGGUUUUGCUAACACUAUGAGAUGGCUUUGCGGUGCAUUAGCUAGUUGGUGGGGUAAAGGCCUACCAAGGCGACGAUGCAUAGCCGACCUGAGAGGGUGAUCGGCCACACUGGGACUGAGACACGGCCCAGACUCCUACGGGAGGCAGCAGUAGGGAAUCUUCCGCAAUGGGCGAAAGCCUGACGGAGCAACGCCGCGUGAGUGAAGAAGGAUUUCGGUUCGUAAAGCUCUGUUGUUAGGGAAGAAUGAUUGUGUAGUAACUAUACACAGUAGAGACGGUACCUAACCAGAAAGCCACGGCUAACUACGUG
Molecule: ribosomal RNA, 499 nt
Filed under: uncultured bacterium
Lineage: Bacteria
Description: partial 16S ribosomal RNA
Rfam family: Bacterial small subunit ribosomal RNA
Source: RNAcentral